Molecule: transfer RNA, 66 nt
Filed under: Papuadytes sp. MB667
Lineage: Eukaryota; Metazoa; Arthropoda; Insecta; Coleoptera; Dytiscidae
Description: transfer RNA-Leu
Source: RNAcentral
AUUACUUUGGCAGAAAAGUGUAAUGAAUUUAGAAUUCAUUUAUGUAAUUAUAUUUUACAAGUAAUA